AUGAAGCUGUUGCGCCGUGACGUCAAGCCUUGAUCUGACUAUGCAGAGCGGAGCGCGCGUGCUGUUGCUGCUGCUGAGAGAGAGAGCACAUGGAGGAGAGAGCACGAGCACUUAGCAGCAUUGCUAAUGUAGCCUGACUCGCAAAAAUAUUCAGAGAUGAGGAACAAUUAUAUGUGACAUUCAUACGGACUGAUUUGUUUGAGGCGUCUAACACGGUUUAAAUGCUCAGGAUGUAAGCAGCUUCACAAAUAAGAGACAUCUUCAGCAUCUGGGGGCUUGUUGUUUGAGUCUGAGAAAGCGCCCUGGUAUCAGUCGCUUACCCUGCCAUUGAAGAAUGCGGUGAAAAGGUUGUGAUAAGACUUUGCUGUGGGACGGCCUGACCUUCAGAGGAUUGGACUGAACUUGGACAGCAGUGAGGCAGGGAACACGAGGCACUUACCUGGGUACGUUGCCCUGCCAAACAUCAGGAGUCAUACCGGCAUUGGUGACAUCAAACUAUGAUGUCACUCGGACUGUUUAAUGAGUCAGAAGCUUGUUAAUAUGCAACCUGAUCUUAAAGGGUGAUUGUAUCGAAUGUAAUUGUUUUAAUAAAAAGGGGUGUUUUAACUGAGCCUGCAAAUUUAUUGUUUAAUUUCAUACUAAUUUGAGAAUGAAAAAUUGAAUAAACAAACAAGCAGUGGUAACUUUCACUUAAAGUUAAACUUACUGUGC
Long non-coding RNA from Misgurnus anguillicaudatus (oriental weatherfish), 711 nucleotides. RefSeq lists it as uncharacterized. The record is from RefSeq and is a predicted model, not a curated record. NCBI's taxonomy places the organism in Eukaryota, Metazoa, Chordata, Actinopteri, Cypriniformes, Cobitidae.